This 732-nucleotide small RNA is filed under the name Vigna angularis var. angularis. RNAcentral's name for it is "Non-protein coding transcript". Lineage: Eukaryota; Viridiplantae; Streptophyta; Magnoliopsida; Fabales; Fabaceae. The record is from RNAcentral.
GGAUUUUGAAGUUCUUACUUAUCUUUAGCCUUGUCAAGAAACCUAUUCAUUGAAUUGAUCUGCGUUAACUUCCAUGAAUAAAUAUACAUUAUCUAAUAUGAAUCUGCAAAGUCCAUGUGUGAUAAAUACCUGAGCCUGCUAGUGUGUUUUAGAAGCCUUCCUUGGGACCUUUCUGACUCUGGGACCUCAUACAAUAAAGCAGGAUUUGAAGGGCAAGACAAAUUUCUUUUCCUUACUGCUGCAAUUAAGACUUGUAAAAUUGGUGUUAAAGGGUUUCCUUCUGGCCUUCUGUACCUGUAAAAUGAUUUUCCCACACAGAAAGCUAUGAUAGUGAUAGCCAUAAUAAUAGCAAUGGCUAGGCAAGCAACUCCCCAGCUGACAAAGUCUUGAACAUAAACAAUCACUGUUGCACCAAGUAGCAAUGCAAAGCACAGUCCAAAGAACCACCAGUUGAAGAAAGACAUCUUCUGCUUCCUUUCUUCCAAGUGAUCAUCAUCAAAUUGGUCAGCUCCAAAGCUUUCCAAGCAUGGCUUGUAUCCUCCUGUGCCUAAGGCGAUACAGUAAAGGGAAAGGUAGAAAAUCACUUCAUGAACCUUCCUUGGUUGUUGGCAUAUACUAGUGUUGCAAGCCUUUAUACUUGGGAUGAAUUGAGACAUCGUCAACAGGCUUAAUCCCUGCUUCACACAUCAACAAAUGUAACUACAUAAACAAAUUGGAAAGAAAAGAAAGACA